GUCGCUUCCCGGAGCACUGACCAGCUCUUUCUUCCUCUUCUCCUCCUUCACGUCUGUCUUCUUGAUCUCUGCCUUGAAGGCCUCCGCCUCCCCGUUCUGGUCAUCCUUCGCCAGCAGGUCCAUGAGCUUGCUGCCUGCGCCUACGCACCUCGACCAGUAUUCACUCGACUCAGUUAUGCUCCUGAAAUCAGUUUCAUGCUUGUUUAACUGGUCUGAUCGCAGCAAAACACAAGGAUACAACGGGUUUACGACUCAGCUAUUUCACAGGUUCAUCACAUAAAUCUCUUUGAGGAUUUAAACCCCGGAUUCUUUUGGAAACGAAAAUACACAGCUCUACAUCUCAAUACUUAAAAAAAUCUGAUUCAUGGCAAAUAUGUGGUUUGUUUUUUUUUUUUUUUUUUUUCAGAGUCAUGAGGCAUUGUAAACCAGCAUUCACACAUCCUACAACUGUUUUAUUCAAUGCAAGAAUGUUUGCAUCUAACGUGCUAAGAAUGUUUUGUUAUCUGUCUCCAUGCCUUGUUUUGGUUCUUUCUUAUUAUCAAGUUCUGAUAUUGCUUACCCUGAGUGCCCAAAUCUGGGUUUAGGUCACCUAGAGAGCAGGGAAUAGCUGGUAGGUCCAGUGGUUUGCUGCUGGGCUGCAGUGAUUUGGAAGUCCAGGGCAUGAAAAAGUUGCUUCGCACAUAAUCUUGCAGUGCAGUACUUUUCCUAUCUCAGCACACACACAUGCAGCAUGGCUUUUUAAGCGACUGGUCACUGGGAAGUCUGUCUAGCAGCUAUAAAAUCAGAAAGCAGAGGUAGCGUAUGCAGCUAAAAAUAUUCUUCCAAAUAAAAGACCUUUCAGUUAAAAAUUGUCUUAUAUAUAUUGCUAGAUGAAAGGCACGUUGCCUUUCUCCCAUGUUUUUUUAUUUUUAUUUUAUUUUAUUUUAUUUUAUUUUUAAUUUUUAGAAUAGAACAGGUAAGUGAUUUCAGAGCCUUAGUUUUAUUAAGAAAGUUUGUAGAAUGAUCUACAGUUCAACUAUGUCAGUCCUAAUAAUGUAUUGAACCACAUCUACAAAAUACAUCCAUGGGAAAAAGAAAGAUCACAAAACUUCACAGACACAGACCUCAUCAGUACAAGUUGUGCUAUUUAAGCCAACAAGACUGCUCAUCGGAGUGGCACCUAUUUGUAUGAAUUCAAGUUUUACUUGUGCCCACUGUUAGUGGAAACAGUUUGUACAUACUUGAGCUAGCUCAUAGAUCAUUAGCAGUCUUGCAUGGGAAGGCAGAGCACAGUGCAGGCUGGUUUUACUGUUUCUCACUGAGCAAAGGAGCCUUUGCUGAGCUCUAUGCUAUUGCAGUAAGGCACUGCAAGCACUGUUUUACAGCCAAUUCAAGGACCUCAACACUACAGUCUGCAGUACGGAGAGACUAGUGGGCAAAGUGCUGGAUAUACAUACAUCUUUGCUUACCUGGAGACCUGGAACUCUGCCCUGCAUACACCAGAGCCUGUGCAGGGCUUCCCUUGACUCUGUUCAUGUACUAUUCAUAAAGAUAUGUCCUCACUUGCAAAAACAGUACAUGCCCAUUUUGCAUGAUAUGUGCAUGCAACACAUCUGGGCUGCAUGUGUGGAAACGUAAAGGCACACACCACAGACAAUUUUACAUGUGCAAUUUUCCAAGUAUGGGUCUACGGGUCUAUAAUGUGGUGUAUCUACAGUGCAGAAAAUGACAUACUUCUGCACAGGAGGGCAUUCUAAAGUGAUUUUCAAAGGAAAAAAAAAGCAACAUUAUUCUUGGUAGCACCGUUAGUAGCAGCUUAUUUCUCCUGGUGGCUCCUGAAUUUUUCUGCAAACCCACCAAGACGGAGUGUUACUCCUAAACAGCAACAUGCACACAGCAAUCAGAAUAUUUCAGAUACUCACUUCUAUAGGCUGAUGUUAUUAAAAUUAAAAACAUCUGCUUUAAGGAAUGCAGAUUUCUAGAUGUAAAAUGCUGCUCUACUCCCACAGUAAAUUCAGCUACUCGAGAAACAAAUUGUGAUUCUGAACAGUCAUUGCAUUGUUUGACACAGUAGCAAAUGUAACAAUGCUACCCUUAAUGUUGUUGUUGUUCAACCAACAAUUGGAACUGGAUAAAGGCUUUCAGCUGGGAACACUUUUCUAAUACCUUGUAGGUAAUGGAAUUCCUAUUGUGUGCUGCGCUCUGACCAUUAGGCCCUGCAUACCAGGCAUCACCCUCAUCUCACCAAGACAGCUCCCAAAGAGAUGAGUUUGUGAUUGCGAUGGGCUUUUUAAUGUCUGUCUGUUAUCAGCUCACUGACACAGUACUGCAGCUGAGGUGAAUGGAGUCCCAGCUGCCUGCAUUUCAGAUACUAUACUCUUAUCCUGUUUAAAGGCAUCGUGGGUUAGAAACACCUCUGCAAAUUCAGGAGAUAGAAAUCUUCUCCCUUUUGAGCACCCCUUAAAAAUCCUUCAGGAAAAACUUCAAUACUCGUUUUACUUUCUCUUAUAUUCGAGCUAAGUUGUGUGUGCCUGUUGGAGUAAUUACAUGUAUUGACUACCAUAUCAAACAUUGAUUGCUGUGCCAAUGACAUAAGCGCAAUCAAUACGAAAGGUGGAGUUGCACUGAACACUGUGGUAUGUCCAUGGGACAUUUUGUUAUUUUGCCUGUCAGGCUGACUCUAAAUAGAAAAAAAAGUUGCAAAUGGGAAAUAUUGAUCCUGCUGACAUGGGAAUAAAGAAAAAUGGAAGAUAAUCCAUGGGAGGACAUUGCCCUAAACUAUGUGGAGAUGGCACAUGACUAAGAAAGCAUUACAUGACCUAGGAGCAUGUAUGGUGGUACCCAUAAGUAAAUAAUGGAAGUUAAAGUCCUUUUUAUAUUCUGACUCCUUAUAAAUCUGACACUAGGUAAAUAUGGUAGUUUCAGAAAAGAUGUAUAAAUGGAAACAUAGACGAAACAUGACUGUAGUGCAAAUUAAGUAAAAAACCCCCACCUUGAUGCCUAAGAGGAUAUCAAUAAUAUGUUCAAACACUUUACUGGAAAGAAUUGGUCCUUUCUUUGGAUUGUAGGUAGAGGAGUUUGGAGACAGGUUCUCUUCCAGUGGUCUGGAAGACCUCCAGGCCAUUUUAAGUACUGAUUGUAGCCACAGCUUCCCAGAGUUGCUGUCAAACGGAAAUUUACUCUUUGUGGGAUGGAUGCCAUGGAGUUAUAAAUUAGACAAAUUAGACUUUAAAUUCUAAUAUUGUUUAUAUCCUGUAAAGGUUGAUAAACACACAUAUGCACAUGCACAUACACAUAUAUGUAUACAUAUACAUAGGAAUUUGAAAAAAAUAAGUGUUAGCAAUUCCUUUCAGUAUUUGCAUCUUAACCAUGUUAACCGGUGUUGCAGUUCAAAAGAAACAUUGGGAUCUGGCUGGAUUAGUAAUAUUUGAGAUCUAUCCAACUCUUGCAAAAUGUCUGAUUCUCCUUCCUUGGGAUUCUCAUGGAUCAUAGUCUUUGUGAAAGCAGGUGUCUUUAUUCCAGCUGGCCACAUGGAGUUUCACUAAGUAAUGUUCACAUGGAGUGCUUCAGACGUCGGUCACUGUAGAAAUGUAAACUAUUUGUGCCUUCAAAACUGGGGAUUAAAAUAAUGAGAAAAAUAAAGUCCAUUCAUUACAUCUGACUUGAAGGAAAUGCUUAUAGAAGGGAAACAGAUGAUUAUGAGACAAAUCUGUAUUUCUUAUGGUCAUGGCCAUGAAACACCAGUUGCUUUUCUUGUAUGGGGAAAGGAGUGUUGCCAGUGGACUAUAGGUUAGACUCUUAGUUUGAGGACAGAUGAACCACAUUUUGUUUCCUUGAUAUAUGAAGAACAGAACGAUAGUUGCCAGGCAGAAUUCCACUAUUGAAAUCUAGAGAUAGGUCUGAAGGGGCACAUGAACACAAAGACUCAUUAGAGUCCAGUGGAUGCUACCUGGGAGUACAGAUACAAUAAAAGAAAAAAAAAAAAAAAAAAGCUAGAAAAAAGUGGGGUUUUUUGGUGACUUUAAAUCACUGCAAUUAAAACUAUUAUUAAACUAGAUUAAAUGAAGCGGAAAUUUGCUUUCAAGUUUUAGAGCCAAGAAUGUUCUUUAUGCCUCUAUCCAUUUCUGUGCUCUACAUACCCUGUGCUGUUUACACAAGGAUUAUCUUGUUUAUUUUACAGAUAUUAUGCUUCAUAGAAACUAAUCAAGAGAAUAUUUCUUUUUUUAUAACAAAAAGUGGAUGUUGAAUUGCUCAAGUUUCUUUUAUACAACAUUCUUGGGUUUGUGAUAGUGUGAUAUUUAAUAAAGUGUUUAUAAAGGCAGAUAUAAUAGUUUAUCAGAUCUCAGGCAGUCAUAAUAACAAAACUGCCCUUAGCCUGAGUGCUAUGUACCGUACUUUGUAAUUUACAGCAUAGUACUUUCUAAAUUACUUCAUAAACUAAGAAAGUUGCCUACCAAAAAAUCAAUCUUAUAAGAACUAAGAAAUCUUUUCCUAAAUAUUUUUUCUGUUACUUAGUCUCCAUACAAAUCAUUAUUAAUAGCUUGGACUCAGACAGAAACUGCACUCCCUUGUAUCAGGCAAGACAUGCAUGCUGUAAGAUAUUUUCAUGCAGUCAAAUCUACUUAAAUUUCCAGUGGAAGAGACUUUUCAGCUUAAAAUACUACACAUCUGAAAUGGUAUCCUGCACAAACAACAGAAUAAAGUGAAGAAAAGGAAACCGACGACCUUACAGUGGGAAUCUAAUGGAGCAAAUUAAGUGGGAGUUAAUAGUUUAUGAGACCAUGAAUAGAGAAUGGAGCCUUUCAUUUUUAUGUUAGCAGUCCAAGUCCCUACCAACUUAUCUUAAGUCUAUUGGGUGGAUUUACUAUAAUGAAAUGUGUACAGGCUUCUUCAGCAGGGAACAAAGCCUUUGCCAAUGAGUCCAGUCUUCCUCUCUGCUGAAGCACCUGCUCUGAGAAAUCUGGCCAGCAAACAACAGGAGACCCAGGCAUUGUGAACCUGCUUCAACAGCCACUGAUGACCAGAAGGUGAUGUGCACCAAGCCUUUUGAACAGGGUCCCCUGGAAAUUCAAGCAUUGAUCUUAGCUCAGGACUUGCGAAUGUGCUGCUCAAUCUAUUGCUGCUUUUAUGUCUUUCAUUAUACCAUCAUCAGAAGUGGUUAUCAGAAGAACUAUAUAAAAUUAGGUACAACAGGAGUCCCAAAAAAUGUAUCCCCUCCUUUGACUUCAACAGCCUGUUUCAUCUGUUUUUCCUCCAAGUUGUUUUGCUUUACAUAUUCUGUAGUAGGUGCCGUCUUUAUUUUUUUUCUCUCCACAACAAAUCCUGAAGAGGUAGUUAAAGCAUCAACACCUAUUAGAGAAAAUGGAAAGAAUACAUCACUGGAAAUCUUGGAAAGUUUUCAGCAGUGUGCUUGUUUCAGAAUAAAUGAAGGCCUCUGAACUAAUCCUCAGAUGAAAAGAAGUUCAUAUACGUCUUUAAUUAGAUCAUGCUAUUGGAACACAAUAUUGUGAUAAAGAAGAUUUAAUAAAGCAUUUUGUCCUUUUAUUACUUUCAUUUCAUGCAACAUAUCUCCUUAUCCAAGCAAGAUGUUUGACUUCAAAGGAAGUGCUAUCCACCCUCCCUUUGCUCAAUAAAUAACUCCCAGAAGAGUAAAAACAAUAUAUGUUUGUAACUUUGCCGACGCUGCUUAGUUGUGAGAAGAUCAAUCAUUGUCGUUCUUUUCUGUAGCUGUGGGUUUAAGAUGAAUCUCUUCCUUGAAGAAAUUUCUGUAUAAUUUGGUGCCCAUCAUUAACCCCUCACCUUCGGGAGAGUGCACCCUAAUAAUAAAAUGAAAUCAAGUAACUUGCCUUGCUGGAGAACAUUCAUCUGAGCAGGGGCUGACCCUGUGCAGAGGGCCUGGUCAAAAUUCAUCCUAAUAAAGGGACUGAAAGGUAGCCAAAGAAUUGUGUUGGAUGGAUGGUUGCAUAAACAGAAAACGACCACUAACUUAUUUUUCUUCAGUAUGAAUAUAAUGAGUAGGCUGUUGACAUGACAAAACAGCCCUCCUAUUUUCAAAUAAACAAAGCCAAAGUGUUUUCAGAAAGAUUAGACUCCAAGGCUGUCAAUAUUAAAGUUAAUUUGUCAAGAUUUCCCAGCUUACACUGUAAAGACUAAAAGAAGCCAGAGAAAACAGAAGGCUGGAUGGUAUCUGAAGAGGCAUAUAUUUCACCUUUUGCUGCAAGGUGUGAUCAUCUGUCAAGACAAGCAUACCUGGCAGAAGUUUGUGUUUUCACAGAUUUCCAGAGAAGGUUCCUUUCUUCUCCAGGUGAUUUAUUUCAGUAUUUCUUUCUCACUGACAAAAGUUGUUCCUGAAUCUUUGCCAACUCUUCUGCCACUGCUACUGAAGCUCAGUGCAUCUUACAGAUACUGUCAACAUGGAGUGUGGUUUAUUCUUUUCUUCUUUGUAGCUGACUUCUACAUAUUUAGUUAGUAUUUUCCUCUUCAGCAUUCUUUUCUCUACACCAGAAAACUUUUUUUUUUUUUUUAAUAUGUAGUGUAUUUCUUAAAUGUUUAAUGUGUCUUGCUGUCUCUUUAAUUCAGCUGUACCUUUAUUGAAAUUGUGUGGCUAAGACUGGACACAGUAGGAAAACUAGACUUCUCCUGCGUUGAGUGGAAUUGAAGGCUUACCUCACUUAUAGCCUGUAUGUCUGUUAAUAUCUCCUGCUAGCUGGCGUGUGUGUGGUGUUUUUUUUGUUUUUGUUUUUUUCAAAUGAUAAUUUUACCACCAAAUAGUUAACCCAAGCUGGGAUGUCUCAGUUUUAUUUUGCAGUACAUUACUCCAGAAAGUGCAAUAAGUCUCUGUUUUCCACUUACCCAUUUCUCCAUUUUAUUGAGAUAAAUUUGAUUUCCAGGCUUUCCCUUCCACCUACAUGGAAUUCUUGCUAGCUUGAUGUUGUCUUUUAUAUAUAAAAUUUAUGCACGAAAUUUAUGUAUAUUCUAUAGCAUAUGAUUUGGAUCAUUCAUGUAGACAUUGACAAGAAUCAGUCCCUGGAUAGAUCUCUCAGAACUCCAACUGAUCUACCUUUCUGUUUGCAAAACAAGCUAUUGAUAACUAUUUUGUGGGUACUGUUAUCCAACCACAGGAAUUCUGAAAGUCAGGGACACAUGGAAAUGAACAUCCAGCUACCAUGUAAUUAAUAAAAUCUUCCAAAUAAAGUGGUUUGAAAAUAUACCCCCUAAAAAGCUCGAACUGAAGAUCUUUUUUAUGCUCAGAUUUUGUUCCUCGACACCUGCAGCUCCCCAAGACUUGUGUGGAACUUGGAAAUGUACAGUUUUAAAGAUUGGCUAAUUAUUUGUACAUAACAUCAUCUGUGGAAUGGAAAAAAUGUAGAAAGAAUAAAAAUGUGAUUACUACUAAGGAUUUUUCAGUCUAAAUUAGGGACAAGAUUGCAUCUGAGAGAGAAGCAUGAUGUCAGACAAACAAGAGUGAAGAAACCCUAUGAGCUAGUUGUUUUGAGAUAGCGCUUUUCCAUUCUUUCUGCUAAAGUUUACUUUUAAUUGAUGUCGAAUUUGGCAGCAUUUGAGGGAGUGUGUGCUUUGGCAGUGAAUUUCAAGGAGGAAACAGGAUGGAAGAAUGAAAUUACUGUUUACGAUUUAACUAGAAUUAGAGGAAGAAGGGGUAAAUUCUGCUUUCAGUUGCACUACAGGAAUUUUAGAACUCAUAUAUGUGCAACAAGCUUUUAUUUUAAACCGCUGUGUCACUUCAGGCUGCUUAAAUUAAAACUCCCAUUUAAUUUUAAUUUACCUGUAAUCUUCAGAAUCUACUGCAAUAAGGUAAACCUUUUUAAAGGCAUCCUUCUGUGUUAUUUUUCCUCGUUUAUUCAGCUUGAUUUAACAUUGUUUGCUUUUCACUUUGUAUUUUAACAAGCUUGCUCUUCAGUUUUAGAGUAAUUUGUGAUCACCCCCAAAUGGAAGUUUAUUUUAUUUUAGUGUUUCUUUCACAACUAAUUUGAACUUACAUCUGGCUUUAAAUAAAUAUUUACAUAGAAAUAACAUGAAAUUGCAUGGUGUAAAUGUAGUGCCAUUCAACUAUGUAAAUAGCAGCAAAGAUGUUUAAUUGAAUAUAAAACACUGGUAAAAUGUAAA
This is a long non-coding RNA of Columba livia (rock pigeon), 8103 nucleotides long. RefSeq lists it as uncharacterized. The transcript is spliced from 8 exons. NCBI's taxonomy places the organism in Eukaryota, Metazoa, Chordata, Aves, Columbiformes, Columbidae. The record is from RefSeq and is a predicted model, not a curated record.